This is a non-coding RNA of Picea glauca (white spruce), 72 nucleotides long. The record is from Rfam. Lineage: Eukaryota; Viridiplantae; Streptophyta; Pinopsida; Pinales; Pinaceae.
GAAGACGUAGCCAAGUGGACCAAGGUAGUGGAUUGUGAAUCCACCACACGCGGGUUCAAUUCCCGUCGUUCG